Long non-coding RNA from Numida meleagris (helmeted guineafowl), 1948 nucleotides. The record is from Ensembl. NCBI's taxonomy places the organism in Eukaryota, Metazoa, Chordata, Aves, Galliformes, Numididae.
AAUUAAAACAGAGGGGCGUCAAUACUAUGGAUAUUUCAAGUCUCCAGGGAGCUCUGCUUGGAAGGAAAGAGACGGCAGAGCGCCUGCAGCAGAACUAAAGCUUCAGCUCACUGAAUUCUCUUCUUUUUCCUCCCACUUCUGCAAGAACACCCUUCAGACCACCGUUGCUUCAGCCAUAGAAGUGAUGUAGUCAAGGUCCACGAGUCCACGUGAGAGCUCAGACAGGGAGGAGGAGGAGGAGGAGACCCAAGUGGCCGCUUUCUCAGUGCUGAGGACUAUGUGCCCUGCUGCCAACCCCAGCACCGGGCUCCUCCACCUCCCAUGGGGCUCCCUGUGCUGUGAGUGACCGCAUCCAUCCCUGCACCACGUCCUCCAGACAGAGCCAUGCUGCAGCUCGGGGCAUUCUCCAAAGAAAUUGCUUUCUCGUGACUAAAUGUUAGCACAGAGAAUGAACGAAGAAAGACCACAAAUUUACUUAAAAUUCAUCACUGGCUCCCCAGCACAGGGGAAAGUCUGGGGUCGGUGUCAUGUCCUGCAGCGGAUGCAGGAAGAUUGGCUGCUUGUGUUCACAGAAUCCUUAAGGUUGGAAAACACCACAAAGACCAUCUAGUGCAACCACGUUGGGGUGGUCUGCUCGGACACAUCUCCUAAGAGCUUCAAACUUUCCACAGUUUCCUUAUCCUUGUCCCUGAGGGAAAGCACCAGGGACACCAAGGCACAGAGUCCUUGUAGGCAUGGCUGGCUGCCAGCCACCCUUGUCCUCUGGUUAAUAGAGGAGCAAAUGGAAUGAUUGUAGGUGCUAUUUGCAUCUCACCAUUUGGGACCUGGCCAUCGCUGCUUUCAUCCACCAAUCUUGGAAGGAGGUGUUGCUGCCCUGCUGACAACUCACCCGCUCCCACCAGAGGAACCCUGAGGGCUGGGAUGCACAUUGCUUUCUGCCCUGGGGCUGUAAGCAGGAACAGCAGUUUGGUGAUUUCCUUGGCUCUGUGUUGCUUGUCACUGGAGCAGCCGGGGCUGGGUGGAAGAGAGUGGCUGCACAUCUUUCUGCUCCUGGUGGCUCUUACUGUUAAAAGCCAGCCCUGUGCCACGGACUGGCCCAGCCCUUCAGGUGGUAGACAACCUGCUUCAGCAGCAGCUUUGUUCAGAAUUUAUCGGGCUGCAGCUGGGAAUCUUUCCCUUUGAUCCAUCUCUGCUAUUAAACAGCUUCUGAUAAUGCCGCCGAGUUCACAUCAAGGAGGGGAAGCCGAGCAACCUCAAUUUUGGAGCUGGGCAGCAGCGGGGAGCCCGUCUUAAAGCUGCAUCACCUCACUGGCUUCAAAAGCGAAGGAGCUCCUUUUAUUGCAGCGUGCUGCACUCCAGGAAUGAUUAAAGUCCUGUAAACGCGCACCUUCCUCAUCACAGAGCUGUCUGCAGGCAGGGUGCCAAGUACAACAAGCCCAAUCCAAAGCAUCAUCCCCUCCGUGGGGCUAAUGGUUGUUGCCUUGUCUCCUGAACAAGAAGAGUGGUAAGGGAAAGUAGAGCCUGGAGACACGCACACACAUCCCUGUAUGGAAAGAAUCCCUGAAAGAGAACUGAAAAGCAAUUGAGGAGUCAGCCUAUGGGCUACAGACAAAGCGCAGAGCGAAGGAGAUAACCGGCAGUGAGCGCUGGGAAAUAAUGCCCUAAAUUCCCUCUGAGCCCAUUCAUCACCGUGGCUUCGGCGAUCAUCUCAGCAACAAAUUCCCUUAUCAUCCGGUUGGAAUUCAACGUUAAUGACCUGUCUGUUAUUUCAGAGGGAGAUGGACUGGAACCGGAGGGUAAUUGGUAGGAAAAAUCGCCGGGUACAGCAAAGAGCUGAUGCUAUUGGAGUAGUUACACCAUGAGAGAGGGAGAUUAAGGAGCUCUGCUCACCACAAGGGGCUUAUUCAUCCUGAAUAAAUGUGUUAACUGCCCAGAGCUGUCCUCCUAC